UUGUUCAGUUGAGUAUAUGGAGGGCAAAUGGGAUUGUGAGGGUGUUGGACCACCUGGUGGCUUAGGGGAAGCUAUCAUGAGACAAUAUUUACGAGAUAUUGUUUCUGGGUUAAUGUAUCUUCAUUCACAUAAUAUAGUGCAUAUGGACAUAAAGACUCAAAAUCUUUUGGUUUCGCGUAAUGGCACUGUAAAGAUUGCAAAUUUCAGUGUCAGCCAAGUUUUUGAGAUGGAAUCUUGCUUCUUGAAGCUAAUAGAAUGUUCAGAGCUGGAGGAUAUUUUGUAUGGGCAGUAUUGCCAGUCUAUAAACUUGAAGAUAACUUGCAAAAGCAGUGGAAAGAAAUGGAGAAUCUUACGUCCCAUAUUUGCUGGGAACUGGUAAAAGGGAGGGUUAUAUUGCUAUAUGGAGGAAGCCUUUGAACAACAUUUGUUAUCUGAAUCGUGAAGUUGGUGCGAAACCUCCACUUUUUGACCCGAAAAAUUAUCGAGACAGUGUCAGGCAUGUGGGACAGAAGGUCUGUAUUACAAGGGUACCUAAUAACGGAUGUGAAUGUUGUCGGAGAGAGAAUAAGUACCCUCAAUUUUGCAGAGAGGGUUGCCUCUAUAGUACUUGGAGCUGCUCGAGCUAACACUUGAACGUGAAGCAAAUACUAUUUUAUUGGAGAAGGGAUCAUUGAAGUAGCUAAAUGCUGUAUUUUACAAGAGUGAGACUAGGAACUACCCCAAGGGAAUACAAUGUGCAGAUUAUGGGUUCCAUUUAUUGACUGUCCACGGGCGAGUCGAGCUCAAUUUCUAUGAUAUCAAUGGCUCCUCAACUGCCAACGCAAUUUCUUGUUCAGACCCAGUAUGUAGUACUAUGGUUCCACCAGCAUCGUCUCACUGCUCAGCUGAAAGUAAACAGUGCGGUUACUCGUUUCAAUAUGGUGAUGGAAGUGGGACCUCAGGGUUUUAUGUGUCUACUAUGAUGUACUUUUAUAUGAUCUAGGGAGCUCUAUGAACGCUAAUUCACCUGCCUCUAUCGUUUUCAGAUGCAACAAUUAUCAAUCUGGAGAUUUGAUCAAUUCAGAACGUGCUCUUGAUGGGAUCUUUGGUUUUGGUCAGCAGGGCUUGUCCUUUGUAUCUCAAUUUUCUUCCAGGGUAAUAACACCUCAACCAUUUUCCCAUUUUUGAAAGGAGGAGGAAAUGGUGGGGUUAUUCUGGUGCUUGUAAGAUUUUGGGCCCAAGUAUUGCGUAUGGUCCACUUGUGCCAUCAUAGGAGGAGAGGAUGCUGCCAUUGUCAGAUACAUGUACACAAGGAUGACUGAAAUCACUAGAGAACUACUAGGAAAGAUACUGGAAUCACUUCACAGUUAGUGGAACUAUUGAGGUAGUGGAUGUAGACAGUGCAAGUGAUGCAAGUGAUGCAAGUGAAGGGACGAUGUAACUCUCAGAAUCACUGAACUACCAGUUCGGAAGUGGACUCAAGAUUAUAAGGAAUUUUAAAGAGAGACAGAGAUCAAAUGAUGUAGCAAAAUUAAAUGAUGCGGCGAAUAUUCGGUGCUAAGGAGUUCUUUGAGAUUUUUCAAAGAUGCUUCUGAUCAGAUUUUGACUUGACUUGCGCAGUUGUUGAUUCGUCUGCAAUAUUAGCUGAAAUUGCAAUUGCAACAGCAACAGCUCUACAAAGCCUUAUAUAUCAGAGUCGUAUGUUGCCACAAAGUUAGCCGAGGAACUAUCAUGACUGUUAUUUCUCCUUUCUCCUAUUAGGCCGGUCUUUUUUAAUUUUUCUAAACUUAGCCAUGUAAAUUUUUUAUGCUUAGCCAUGAAUUCUAUAUAUGUAAACUACAUCAAGUAAUUAGUCAU
Spinacia oleracea (spinach) is the source of this 1836-nucleotide RNA transcript. It is a transcript of the gene named serine/threonine-protein kinase GRIK2-like, with no coding region annotated. The record is from RefSeq and is a predicted model, not a curated record. The transcript has 12 exons. Lineage: Eukaryota; Viridiplantae; Streptophyta; Magnoliopsida; Caryophyllales; Amaranthaceae.